GACGAACGCUGGCGGCGUGCUUAACACAUGCAAGUCGAGCGGUAAGGCCCUUCGGGGUACACGAGCGGCGAACGGGUGAGUAACACGUGGGUGAUCUGCCCUGUACUUCGGGAUAAGCCUGGGAAACUGGGUCUAAUACCGGAUAUGACCUUACAUCGCAUGGUGUUUGGUGGAAAGAUUUAUCGGUACAGGAUGGGCCCGCGGCCUAUCAGCUUGUUGGUGGGGUAAUGGCCUACCAAGGCGACGACGGGUAGCCGGCCUGAGAGGGCGACCGGCCACACUGGGACUGAGACACGGCCCAGACUCCUACGGGAGGCAGCAGUGGGGAAUAUUGCACAAUGGGCGAAAGCCUGAUGCAGCGACGCCGCGUGAGGGAUGACGGCCUUCGGGUUGUAAACCUCUUUCGACAGGGACGAAGCGCAAGUGACGGUACCUGUAGAAGAAGCACCGGCCAACUACGUGCCAGCAGC
Molecule: ribosomal RNA, 470 nt
Filed under: Nocardia sp. 15-810
Lineage: Bacteria; Bacillati; Actinomycetota; Actinomycetes; Mycobacteriales; Nocardiaceae
Description: bacterial SSU rRNA
Rfam family: Bacterial small subunit ribosomal RNA
Source: RNAcentral